Molecule: long non-coding RNA, 727 nt
Filed under: Homo sapiens (human)
Lineage: Eukaryota; Metazoa; Chordata; Mammalia; Primates; Hominidae
Description: HSALNT0370634
Source: RNAcentral
UCGGGUCCACUCUGGGGGCGCCCAGUGCUACAACCGGAAACGCGGCUGGAGGCCAGUGGAUGCUUGAUGGAGCAGUUCGCGCCGUGGUGCGCGCGCGCCAGGGCUUAGGCUCCAAGUAAAGGCCUUCUUCAUCCAUCCACCCACAACCAGGGGGCCUCAUAAGACCUGUUGAGGGGCCCUGCAACACUGUAUACAGAAUCGCCUAUUUAAGAUGGCAAAGUACCCGUGGAGACACUGAUGAAAACUAUGGACUUUCUCCAGAAAAAUACACCCAAAAUACAAUUUUGAGACCAGCAUCCAGGCUCUGAAGACCUGUGACAGCCAUCCAUGGAGUCAUGUUAAGAACCUCCACUCCAACUAACCCAAAGCUCACAGCCCUGGAGGAGAAGAAGCCUGUUUGGGGAAUUCUACCUUGGCUCCAUGUCUCUGAAGAGGCUUGUCCCAGGGAAUAUAAUGGGAUCCUCGCUCACACACAACCCAACAGCCGACCCACAAUGGCACACCUCCCAGUUAUUGCCUUAGUCCGGCAAACCCCUGGCUAAGCAUCCACAGCCGAGCUGAGGGCAGUGAGAAAAGUUCAAGUCGCCAGCUGAAGUGGUCUUUAACACCCCCCCCCCGGCCUUCUCAGCCUCACUGUUUAUCCAUAUGAAGCGCUCUCCUUCCCGGCCCACUUCCACCCCCACCUUUCUGAGAUCGGCUAUAAAAAUAAACUAUUUUUCCUUGUUAA